This 327-nucleotide ribosomal RNA is filed under the name uncultured Pseudomonadota bacterium. RNAcentral's name for it is "bacterial SSU rRNA". It matches the Rfam family "Bacterial small subunit ribosomal RNA", at positions 29 to 351 of the family's 1533-position model. The record is from RNAcentral. Lineage: Bacteria; Pseudomonadati; Pseudomonadota.
AGUGAACGCUGGCGGCAGGCCUAACACAUGCAAGUCGAACGGUAGCACAGAGGAGCUUGCUCCUUGGGUGACGAGUGGCGGACGGGUGAGGAAUACAUCGGAAUCUACCCUGUCGUGGGGGAUAACGUAGGGAAACUUACGCUAAUACCGCAUACGAACUGAGGUUGAAAGCGGCGGACCGCAAGGCGUCGCGCGACUGGAUGAGCCGAUGUCCGAUUAGCUAGUUGGCGGGGUAAUGGCCCACCAAGGCGACGAUCGGUAGCUGGUCUGAGAGGAUGAUCAGCCACACUGGAACUGAGACACGGUCCAGACUCCUACGGGUGGCAG